Molecule: long non-coding RNA, 1273 nt
Organism: Panthera uncia (snow leopard)
Lineage: Eukaryota; Metazoa; Chordata; Mammalia; Carnivora; Felidae
Exons: 5
Source: RefSeq, a predicted model, not a curated record
CGGACGGCUGGCGCUGGGCAUCUGGGUCCCGGGAGGCUGAGCCCUGGCCAGCCCCCAAGCAGCUCCAUGCAGGUUCCCUGAGAGGAAGCAGAGUCUCCCUGGCUGAGCUGCCAGGCCACAGGCGAGUCCGCCCCACAUCCUUCCAUUUCCGUGGGAACAGAGAGGGUGCCCUGCGGUGACACUUUCACAGCUCCUCUGCGUGUGACCAAGGAACCGUGCAUCUCCAGGGGCCCAGAAGCCUCCUGCAGGCCCCUCUUGGACAUCACCAUCCUCAGACGGAAGGACUCUUCUGACACAGCAUCACCUUACCCGAGUCAUUUGUCAACGUUUUGAGAAUCCUCUGUGUUGCUCUUUCGGAGGCUCAAGAAUUAAGUAAUCCCCCCAACGUCAUAUGGUUAUGAACUGGAGCAGGAUUCAAACUCAAGACUCUCCCAACCCCUCCUAAUCCUUCCAUCUCCUGGCCCAGGGCCCCGAAAGAUGGUUGGAGACUCUGGUUCCCAUCCGGUGCACUGGGGGGCAGGGAGCCCUUGCCGGAGUUCUCUGCAUCCCCUGGGGAGCUGUUUUUUCUGUCAGCGGCUGCCCAGGUUCCCAGGACAGCUCCUGGCCAGAUGGGGAGAAGCAGCAGCAGCCGGCCAUUCUGUGCCCAAGGUGCGCGAGGGGAGCAAGAUGCAGAAAGCGCUGGCAGAGCGGUGGUUUGCUGCAUCCCUGAGGGUCGGCUGAUGACCGCUGGGUUACCAAAAUCUGGAUAUCAGGUUUUUUAUCAGCGUCGGAAGGGACCAGAGAGGGGAUGGGUACCUACACCAGACAGCGGAGCCUCUCAGGCAGUGCCUCUGCAUAGAGGAGGAAACCGAGGCUCAGGAAGGACCCCUGGAGCUCAUGACCAACACGGCAGCAGGAGACUCCAUCUCCUGGCACUCAGGCCGGGCCGCUCUCACCUCAGGGCUGCAGUGAGACGGCUGCUACCAGAAGACUCAGGAACGAAUCCAUGGUAUUUCCUCUCAGCUUGGGCAGAGGCUAGCACCCCCGGAGCACUGUUGGCCCGGAGCACUGGGGGACCGGCAGAGAGAAUGGCAACAAGAGGGCCCCCGGGGGUGGGGGUGGCCGCGGCCCCCAGCGUUCGCUACGAGAAAACACAGGCCGCGCCACUUCCUAGGAGACGUUUCAGGAAAACACCACCACGGCGGUCCAGCUCUUCCUGCCGUGGCCUGGCAGGGGACGUGCCUGGCGGAGACGCGUGGGGCCAGGAGCCCCGCCUCCACAUCAGUCACCUUGC